This 537-nucleotide ribosomal RNA is filed under the name uncultured bacterium. RNAcentral describes it as "partial 16S ribosomal RNA". It matches the Rfam family "Bacterial small subunit ribosomal RNA", at positions 355 to 901 of the family's 1533-position model. The record is from RNAcentral.
UGGGGAAUAUUGCACAAUGGGCGCAAGCCUGAUGCAGCAACGCCGCGUGAGGGACGACGGCCUUCGGGUUGUAAACCUCUUUUAGUAGGGAAGAAGCGAAAGUGACGGUACCUGCAGAAAAACGCACCGGCUAACUACGUGCCAGCAGCCGCGGUAAUACGUAGGGUGCGAGCGUUGUCCGGAAUUAUUGGGCGUAAAGAGCUCGUAGGCGGUCUGUCGCGUCUGCUGUGAAAACCCGAGGCUCAACCUCGGGCCUGCAGUGGGUACGGGCAGACUAGAGUGCGGUAGGGGAGAAUGGAAUUCCUGGUGUAGCGGUGGAAUGCGCAGAUAUCAGGAGGAACACCGAUGGCGAAGGCAGUUCUCUGGGCCGUAACUGACGCUGAGGAGCGAAAGCGUGGGGAGCGAACAGGAUUAGAUACCCUGGUAGUCCACGCCGUAAACGUUGGGCGCUAGAUGUGGGGACCAUUCCACGGUUUCCGUGUCGCAGCUAACGCAUUAAGCGCCCCGCCUGGGGAGUACGGCCGCAAGGCUAAAACU